UAUCCCCAAAGCUGGAAGCCCUAAAAUUGAAGUGGAGAAAUAAGCUGCUCCACUUCAUCUCCGACCUCACGAGCACCGAAGCUAAGCAUUGACUGUUCAGGCGACCACUCUAGCAUUCUCUUCUCCUACCACUCUAGCAGCUGAUUCCUUUUCCCACCGAGCAGCUUUACUCUCUUCUACAGUCCAUUCGAUAGUUAUCUUACCCACACACGCUAGUUUGGUCACAGCAUACGAGAGUAUGGAAGACCUGAAUGAAGACCUUCACGUGCUGUCCGAUAAUGAGAUAGUUGGGGACAAAUCAACAUUGUGGACAAAGAACCAUUAGGAGAAGAUAGAGAGAUUGUUUCAGAGGUAGGUAUAAUAUUCGAUGAGUAAAAAGAGUUGUUUGAUUUCUACAAGAGCUAUGCUUAUGUUGUCGGAUUUUCCAUGAGGAAAAGGAAUUUGAAAAAGGGUAACGAUGGACUUGUUAGAUAUGUCAUGUUUACAUGUAGUCAUAAAGGCCGAAGAGGCAGUAACACAAGCAUGACUUUGAAGCCACAACCAACUAGUCAAACAAAUUGUAAAACGAGGAUAUAUGCAUCUGUUGAUAAUCUUGGAAAAUGGAGAAUUAACACCAUCCAUCUCGAGUAAUAUCAUAAAACAAGUCCUUCCAAAUCUAGGUUGUUUCGAUGCAACAGAGAAUUGACUGCAAAUGCGAAGAGAAAGCUUGAAUUGAAUGAUUUGGCAGGAAUUUCAUUGCAUAAAAGUUACAACUUUGCACUUGUGGAAGCAGGUGGGUAUGAGAAUACGACUUAUAUUGAAAAGGAUUGUAGAAACUAUAUUGAACAAGUGAGACGGUUACGACUUGGAGAUGAGAUGCCGCAGCUUUACAAUCCUACUUUUCAAAGAUGAAAGCACGGUGUUUGGGAUUUUUAUUUCAAUAUGGGUUUGGAUGAUGAGUCACGGCUUCGAAAUAUAUUUUGGGCAGAUAAUAGGUCUAGGCAAGCGUACAAGGAGUUUGGCUAUAUUGUUACCUUUGACACCACAUAUCUUACAAAUAAGUACGACAUGUCGUUUGCCCCUUUUGUCAGAGUUAACCACCAUGGACAAUCAAUACUGCUUGAUUGUGAUUUGUUGUCAAAUAAGGAUACAUGCAUAUUUGUGUGGUUGUUUAGGAUAUGGUUCCAGUGCAUGCAUGCCCAACCUCUCCACAGAAUAAUUACAAAUCAAGAUAAAGCCAAGCAAAAUGCGAUUUGAAAUUGUUUUCCCAAAUACAAAAUAUAGAUGGUGUUUGUGGCACAUUAUGAAGAAGUUCCCAGAAAAAUUUAGCUAUUAUGUUGAUAAAGGUUCGAUAUUCUCAUCUAUACAUGGACUGGUAUAUGACUCCUAGAGUAUUGAUGAAUUCAAAGAAUGUUAGAGAGUGAUGGUUGGUAGAUUUGACUUACAGGAUAACGAUUGGCUGUCAGGCUUGUACGAUAAUAGAAGUUGUUGGGUACCAUGCAUUCUUAAGACAAUGUUCUCAACAAGGAUGUCUACAACACAACGAAGUGAGUGUGUGAAUGUGUUCUUUGAUGGAUAUGUACAUUCGAAAACCUCAUUAAAACAGUUUGUCGAACGGUACAAAAGAACCCUUAGGAACAAGGUCGAGAAAGAGUUCCAGGCUAAUUUCAAGUUAGGCUCGCAAAUGGUACCGUGUGCAACUGCCUUCGAAAUGGAAAAGUAAUUUCAAACAGUUUAUACAAUUUCCAAGUUCAAGAAAGUACAAGAUGAGUUCAUAGGAAAGGUGUAUUACGACGUCAUUUCAGUUUCAAAUGGAUGUUUCGAGGUGAAGUAUGACGUUCGGGAAUCUGUCGUAUGUAGCGAGGGCAGGGGGAAGAAAACAUAUUUUAUCUCGUUUUGACCGAACACAAGUGAAGUUAUUUGCAACAGCCAUCUGUUUGAGUUUCAAGGAAUUAUUUGUCGACAUGCGAUUAGUAUUAGACCGUAAUGACAUCACAACAAUGUCGAAUAGGUAUAGUGAGAAGAUGGAGGAGAGACGUUAGUCGUGCACGCACAAGAGUCGUAGUGAAUUAUGACGGGUUAGCUAGUACUCUAGAACAGAUUCUAUAUGAUGGCAUGUGUUAGACAUUUUCGGAGUUGGCGGACCACGCUGCAAACAAUGAAGGGCGCGACACGUGCGAUAAAGGAUUGGACAAAAUCUCAAGCUACAGAACUGAGGUCUUCAAGGUCGAGUAGUGGUAGUAAUGUUCUUUCCCAACCAACUACGCAUUUACAAAGACAAUGUACUAAUUCAAAAAAUACUGUCAGCGUGAGCGUGUUAGAUCAUAAAUCAUCAAAUAGAAAGGACGCGCCAAGGAAGCUUUGAAGAAAAAGCCCGUUGGAGUCAACUUCAAAGAAAGCAAAGGCUACUUCGACUAAAUGCAAGGGAAAAAGACCAGCACUUGGUCAUGCUGAUAUGGAAGAGGAUGCAUCCGUCCUUCAAGAAUCUGAACAACUUCAAUAUUCUCAGCCGACCCCAUUUUCAUAUUCACAAUUGUUGUUUGUGAUGUCGGAAGCCAAGUGUUUAGCCAACAAUUACCGUCGUCUACUAACGUCAUAUUCAAUUCCCAAGCUACUUCAGGUCCAUGCUUUGAUCAGAUUGUUUCCCAAGACCAUUCCACAUUGCAGACGACCUCGCCCCAUAAUCAACCAGUGAUUUCAAAUCACAAGGAUGACGAAAUCUCAUAUGGCAGUUGAUUGGGCAGGAGUGGUUGAAGUAUUAUCAUCCCAUGUGGUGUUUUCAAAUCAUAAACAUGAGUAGAACUCCAUUUUAUGUCAUUCGUAUGUAGUAGUUAAUCUUCAUGUGUAUUGAUAAACAUUAUCGAUGAACAUAUGGAAUGUUUCUGUCGUUAUAUAUAUUAUUAUUCAUCUUCA
Olea europaea var. sylvestris is the source of this 2892-nucleotide long non-coding RNA. RefSeq lists it as uncharacterized. The record is from RefSeq and is a predicted model, not a curated record. The transcript has 5 exons. NCBI's taxonomy places the organism in Eukaryota, Viridiplantae, Streptophyta, Magnoliopsida, Lamiales, Oleaceae.